UCUCCGUUGGUGAACCAGCGGAGGGAUCAUUACAGAGUUAUCUAACUCCCAAACCAUUGUGAACUUACCACUUGUUGCCUCGGCAGAACCUACCCUGUAACCUACCCGGGAUCAGCUACCUAGUAGCUGAGUUCGACGUGGGCUACCCUGUAGCGGGCUGCCGGCGGACCACUAAACUCUGUUAUACUAUUGUAAUCUGAGCGUCUUAUUUUAAUAAGUUAAAACUUUCAACAACGGAUCUCUUGGUUCUGGCAUCGAUGAAGAACGCAGC
This 271-nucleotide unclassified non-coding RNA is filed under the name uncultured fungus. Its description in RNAcentral is "sequence contains ITS1, 5.8S rRNA gene". The stretch from base 223 to 271 matches the Rfam family "5.8S ribosomal RNA", at positions 1 to 49 of the family's 154-position model. Lineage: Eukaryota; Fungi. The record is from RNAcentral.